GACACAGCGGGAGACACAGCGGGAGACACAGCGGGAGACACAGCGGGAGACACAGCGGGAGACACAGAGAGACAGCAAAGAGUAAAGGAGCCUGUUUUAUAGAGAGAGAGAGAGGAUACCAGGAAAAAACCCGGUGUGCCCCUGCAACCCAGAUCCGAUCCCCCCGAGGGUGCUCCCACGAUCCGCCGUCUCCCUCCCCAAACGUGCCGCAAAAGUCUGAAUGGAAAACACACUGAUUGGUGGGUGCAUCGCUGGUGGAGCCAUUGGCUUCCAAGGUGAGACACACAAACCUACUGUCCUGCUUAGCACUGAG
Long non-coding RNA from Xenopus tropicalis (tropical clawed frog), 313 nucleotides. RefSeq lists it as uncharacterized. The transcript has 4 exons. NCBI's taxonomy places the organism in Eukaryota, Metazoa, Chordata, Amphibia, Anura, Pipidae. The record is from RefSeq and is a predicted model, not a curated record.